AUUGAACGCUGUCGGCAGGCCUAACACAUGCAAGUCGCACGAGUGGCGGACGGGUGAGUCAUGUCUGGGAAACUGCCUGAUUGAGGGGGAUAACUAAUGGAAACGGUAGCUAAUACCGCAUACCAUCAGAUGUGCCCAGAUGGGAUUAGCUUGUUGGUGGGGUAACGGCUCACCAAGGCGACGAUGCCUAGCUGUUCUGAGAGGAUGACCACCCACACUGGAACCUAGACACGGUCCAUACUCCGACGGGAUGCAGCAGUGGGGAAUAUUGCACAAUGGGCGCAAGCCUGAUGCAGCCAUGCCGCGUCUAUGAAGAAGGCCUUCGGGUUGUAAAGUACUUUCAGCGGGGAGGCGUUACCCGCAGAAGAAGCACCGGCUAACUCCGUGCCAGCAGCCGCGUUAAUAC
This 406-nucleotide ribosomal RNA is filed under the name uncultured bacterium. RNAcentral's name for it is "partial 16S ribosomal RNA". It matches the Rfam family "Bacterial small subunit ribosomal RNA", at positions 30 to 526 of the family's 1533-position model. The record is from RNAcentral.